Fukomys damarensis (Damara mole-rat) is the source of this 667-nucleotide long non-coding RNA. RefSeq lists it as uncharacterized. The transcript is spliced from 4 exons. The record is from RefSeq and is a predicted model, not a curated record. Lineage: Eukaryota; Metazoa; Chordata; Mammalia; Rodentia; Bathyergidae.
GGCUGUUCUUGGUGUCUGACCCUCCUGCUGCUGUCCAGGUUCCCAGUGACCCUGUGGGGAAUCAUCAGAUCCUGGUAAAAAUGGCGGCAAGACUCUCAAAUUAACACCAGGCAUGAUGCUUCAGGUCUCUGUCACAGUCACCCAACUCUUCUAAAGCCAUGAAGCAGCCACAGACAAUAUAGAAACCAUGCGGCGGUGAGGCUGAGAGCCACAGUGGCCUCCAGGUGCUGGCCACGCCACAGCGGCACAAGCCCAACAGCUGGAUGAUGGUGGUUCUUGAGGAUGGCCACUCAGAUUCAUGACCAAAUUCAUAUGUUCCAAAAUGACCAAAAGCAGUAGACUAUUUCAUCAUGAUCUGCCUCUGCUCACAGUAAAAUACCCGAGGACAAGCUGGGAGGUGCUGUGUUAGAACAAACGUGAGCCUGCAUUUGCAAAGCCUUGAUCUGCAUCAGCAAUUCAGAGACGUGGCAACUGCGCCCUUGCCCAAUGAGGAGGUGGUUCAAGGACAGAGCCGCUGAUGCCUCUGAGAGUGGGACUUGGCUCCUCUCUCCGCGCCUGGCGGAGGGUCCUCCAAAAGCAUUACCGUCAUUCUCUUUGUCUCCCCUCUUUCCCAUCAUUGACAGCUGGUCUCACCUCUGUCCCUUUGUGGCACCAAGCAAAAUUUUUU